AUUUAACCCACACCCAUAAACGCCAGGGUAUUACGAGCCUAGCUUAAAACCCAAAGGACUUGACGGUGACCCACUCCAACUAGAGGAGCCUGUUCUACAAUCGAUAAUCCCCGAUAUACCAAACCAUUUUUUGCCAAUUUCAGCCUGUAUACCUCCGUCGCAAGCUUACCGCAUGAACGUAUCUUAGUAGGCCAAAGGACCAAUCCGCCACAACGUCAGGUCAAGGUGCAGCUAAUAAAGUGGAAGCAAUGGGCUACAAUUUCUAAACUAGAACAAACGAAACACUACAUGAAAUAUAGUCAUGAAGGAGGAUUUAGAAGUAAGUAGGAAAUAGAGAGUCCUACUAAACAUUGGCCCUGGGACGCGUACAAACCGCCCGUCACCCUCUUCGACAGUCUUAAUAUAGUUUAUAACACAUCAACACACCUUAGAAGAGGCAAGUCGUAACAUGGUAAGUAUACUGGAAAGUAUCCUUGGAGAUAA
RNAcentral lists this ribosomal RNA (483 nucleotides) under Zhangixalus sp. m NP-2023. RNAcentral's name for it is "partial small subunit ribosomal RNA". It matches the Rfam family "Bacterial small subunit ribosomal RNA", at positions 875 to 1520 of the family's 1533-position model. Lineage: Eukaryota; Metazoa; Chordata; Amphibia; Anura; Rhacophoridae. The record is from RNAcentral.